CGCCAGCAGGUGGCGAAACACGAUUUUCUGUAAAAUUAUGAGUACCAGAGACUGGAAAGGAUGUGAGGGUGGGAAGGGGAAAUGAAGAGAGGUUGGUGAAUGGGUACAAACUUAUAGUUAGAUGGAAGAAAUAGGGUCUAAUGUUAGCUAGCAACUGGGGUGACUAUAGUUAGCAAUGAUACAUUGUAUAUUUCAAAAUAGCUAGAAGAGAAGAUUUGAAAUGUUACCAACGUAUAUAAAUGAUAAAUACUCAAGGUGAUGGAUACCCCAAAUACCCUUCUUCUUUUUCUUCCUCUUCUUUUUUCUUCUUCUUCCUCUUCUUUGAUCUCUCCUUGUUCUCCUCCUUCUCCUUGUUCUCCUUCUUCUCCUUCUCUUUCUUCUUUUCCUCCUGUUCUUCCUCUUCUCCUCCUCCUCUUCCUCUCCCUCUCCUUCUCCUUCUUGUUAUUCUUUCUUCUUUCUUCUUCUUUUUUGAGACAGAGUCUCAUUUUGUUGCCCAGGCUGGAGUGCAGUGGCUCGAUCUCGGUUCACUGUAAACUCCGCCUCCUGGGUUGAUCCUUCCACGUCAGCAUCCUGAGCUGGUGGGACCACAGGCGCACGCCACCACGGCCGCCUAAUUU
This 617-nucleotide long non-coding RNA is filed under the name Homo sapiens (human). Lineage: Eukaryota; Metazoa; Chordata; Mammalia; Primates; Hominidae. The record is from RNAcentral.